RNAcentral lists this ribosomal RNA (427 nucleotides) under uncultured bacterium. RNAcentral describes it as "partial 16S ribosomal RNA". It matches the Rfam family "Bacterial small subunit ribosomal RNA", at positions 354 to 796 of the family's 1533-position model. The record is from RNAcentral.
GUGGGGAAUAUUGGGCAAUGGGGGCAACCCUGACCCAGCGACGCCGCGUGAGGGAAGAAGGCCUUAGGGUCGUAAACCUCUGUUGUGUGGGAAGAAGGAAGUGACGGUACCACACGAGGAAGUCCCGGCUAACUACGUGCCAGCAGCCGCGGUAAUACGUAGGGGACGAGCGUUGUCCGGAAUUACUGGGCGUAAAGGGCGCGUAGGCGGUCAUUUAAGUCAGCUGUGAAAUGGUCCGGCUCAACCGGAGCAUGCGGUUGAAACUGGAUGACUGGAGUGCUGGGGAGGCAAGUGGAAUUCCCAGUGUAGCGGUGAAAUGCGUAGAUAUUGGGAAGAACACCGGUGGCGAAGGCGACUUGCUGGCCAGCAACUGACGCUGAGGCGCGAAAGCCAGGGGAGCAAACGGGAUUAGAUACCCUGGUAGUCC